RNAcentral lists this small nucleolar RNA (133 nucleotides) under Sorex araneus (European shrew). RNAcentral describes it as "U8 small nucleolar RNA (ENSSARG00000019153.1)". It matches the Rfam family "U8 small nucleolar RNA". From Rfam's summary of the family: U8 is a member of the C/D class of snoRNA which contain the C (UGAUGA) and D (CUGA) box motifs. U8 is the RNA component of a small complex (the U8 snoRNP) which is required for accumulation of mature large subunit ribosomal RNAs, 5.8S and 28S rRNAs. The record is from RNAcentral. Lineage: Eukaryota; Metazoa; Chordata; Mammalia; Eulipotyphla; Soricidae.
UCAUAAGGUAGAAUAAUCCUUACCUGUUUCUCCAUUUAGAGAUCAGAUAGAACAUGAUGAUUAGAGUUUGAAUGAUUCCUGAUUAAUGACUGCAUGAUUAGGACUUAUAGCACCCUAAUUGCUCCUAUCUGAU